UGGGGAAUAUUGGACAAUGGGCGAAAGCCUGAUCCAGCCAUGCCGCGUGUGUGAAGAAGGUCUUCGGAUUGUAAAGCACUUUAAGUUGGGAGGAAGGGCAUUUACCUAAUACGUAAGUGUUUUGACGUUACCGACAGAAUAAGCACCGGCUAACUCUGUGCCAGCAGCCGCGGUAAUACAGAGGGUGCAAGCGUUAAUCGGAAUUACUGGGCGUAAAGCGCGCGUAGGUGGUUUGUUAAGUUGGAUGUGAAAUCCCCGGGCUCAACCUGGGAACUGCAUUCAAAACUGUCAAGCUAGAGUAUGGUAGAGGGUGGUGGAAUUUCCUGUGUAGCGGUGAAAUGCGUAGAUAUAGGAAGGAACACCAGUGGCGAAGGCGACCACCUGGACUGAUACUGACACUGAGGUGCGAAAGCGUGGGGAGCAAACAG
Molecule: ribosomal RNA, 428 nt
Filed under: uncultured bacterium
Lineage: Bacteria
Description: bacterial SSU rRNA
Rfam family: Bacterial small subunit ribosomal RNA
Source: RNAcentral